GUGUCAGCAGCCGCGGUAAUACAGGGGGGGCAAGCGUUGUUCGGAAUUACUGGGCGUAAAGGGCGUGUAGGCGGCCGAUUAAGUCCGACGUGAAAUCCCUAGGCUUAACCUAGGAACUGCGUCGGAUACUGAUUGGCUUGAAUCCGGGAGAGGGAUGCGGAAUUCCAGGUGUAGCGGUGAAAUGCGUAGAUAUCUGGAGGAACACCGGUGGCGAAGGCGGCAUCCUGGACCGGCAUUGACGCUGAAGCGCGAAAGCCAGGGGAGCAAACGGGAUUAGAUACCCCUGUAGUCC
Molecule: ribosomal RNA, 292 nt
Filed under: uncultured bacterium
Lineage: Bacteria
Description: partial 16S ribosomal RNA
Rfam family: Bacterial small subunit ribosomal RNA
Source: RNAcentral